GCAAUUUAGGAAGGGGCAGAAGGGUAGUUCACAAGACUACCACAAGAGGGCAUGCUGGCCAAGACUUUGAGUCUGUAGCGGGUCCGUGGCUUUUUGAAAAAGGAGCAAGAGGGGGACUUCCCUGUAAAGGAACAUGCCUCUGUACACUGUAAGAUGUGUCUAUUCUGCUUCUAACUUUCACCUUGUUUUGUUUCUUAGUUUUAACAGUUUUAUGUUAUUUAUUUGAGGGGGUAGGAGAGAAAGAGAGCAAGCUCCAAUUUGCUGAUCUGCUGGUUAAGCCCCCAAAUGCCUGCAUUAGAGAGGGAUGGGGACCUGGGACUCAUGCUCAGAAAUGAGGACUCCAUCCAGAUCUCUCGAGCAGGUAGCGUGACCCAGUUUCUUACGCCAGCACCACUGCCUCCUGAAGUUCGUAUUCUCAGGGAGCUACAGCAGGAGUUGGUAUCAUACCCAGGAACUCUGAUGUGGGGCACAGAGCAGAAACCUGGAUUCAGUAUUUACUUUGAAGAGGAGAGGAAAUCUGAAAGAAGUCCACCUAGGCGUUUGGAAUCCUUGUACUAUUACUUCUCUGGCCAUAUGAAAACUGAAGGUCACAGAAUCAUACAUUUAUACAUUGCAACUUAAAAUGAAGUCCAUUCAGAAGUCAUGAAACAUCCAUGCACCAGGACCAGGAGAGAAGGUAGUAGAGUUCUUGCAUUCAUCCACAAUUUAUCAAUAAUAUCAGCUCAUUGGUAGUUAUUUCCACUCAUUUUCUUCCUGGUGAAGCAGAAAUGUUUUGGUGCUAUUUCUAUUUCUGAUAUUAGGACACUGUGAACAGUGCUUCCUGCUCACCUCCACCUCCCUGAACAGAAGAGGUCAGCUCAUUUCUUACGAAGCUCUGCCCUCCACCACCUAGGAGAUAACCUAGUUAUCUAUGCUUCUUUGAAGAACUUAACGAAGAACUCAAAGUGCAUCAUUUUAUUCUUCAGAGGAUGAUUUUGCUUCCUACUUUGUAGUCAAAAAAUUUCUUGCCACAUGAUUUUCCUUUUAACAGAUAAAACAUCUUGGUGAUUUUGCUAAAGCUAAAAAUAGAGUCUCUAAAAAAAGGAGAGUCACAUUAUUUAUAAAUAGCAACCUUCAACUCUGGGGCUUAUUGGGUCAGAAAGAGCAUUUUAAACUGAAAUGCAGAAUAAAAAUAAAUCCAUUUAGCUGGUUUGGCA
RNAcentral lists this long non-coding RNA (1196 nucleotides) under Oryctolagus cuniculus (rabbit). RNAcentral's name for it is "lncRNA (ENSOCUG00000031361.1)". The record is from RNAcentral. Lineage: Eukaryota; Metazoa; Chordata; Mammalia; Lagomorpha; Leporidae.